Molecule: ribosomal RNA, 345 nt
Filed under: Triticum aestivum (bread wheat)
Lineage: Eukaryota; Viridiplantae; Streptophyta; Magnoliopsida; Poales; Poaceae
Description: partial small subunit ribosomal RNA
Source: RNAcentral
CUGCUGAAAGCUGGAUUGAUUAUCCCUAGUUCGAGCCCUUAUUCAUCUGCAGUGUUGCUCGUCAAGAAGAAAGAUAUGACAUGGAGGAUGUGCGUGGAUUACCGGCACUUGAACGCAAUCACAGUUAAAAGUGCCUAUCCCAUGCCAAUCAUCGAUGAACUCUCGGACGAGCUGGCAGGGUCUCGCUGGUUUUCCAAACUGGACCUAUGGGCAGGCUCUCAUCAGAUAAGGCUGCGUGAGGAGGACGAACCAAAAACUGCGUUUAAAACUCAUCAGGGGCACUUUCAGUUCCGAGUGUUACCGUACGGGGUGACGGGAGGGCCACCUACAUUCCAGGGGGGAUGA